AUUCCAAUUUAUUUUGGGGUAGGAAAGUCCGGACACCACAGAGCAGCAAAGCGGGUAACACCCGUCGGUCGCAAGAUCAGGACCAGUGCAACAGAAAGGAUGUAUAUUAAUUUAUAGUGAAAUCAGGUAAACUCUUUGCGGUGCAAUGUUAAGUAUAUCGGAUUUUUUUCAGCAAUGAAAAAUAGGAGUUGCUCGCUCCAAAAACCGAGGGGUAAACAGCUAAAG
Molecule: RNase P RNA, 225 nt
Filed under: Chryseobacterium sp.
Lineage: Bacteria; Pseudomonadati; Bacteroidota; Flavobacteriia; Flavobacteriales; Weeksellaceae
Description: RNase P RNA component class A
Rfam family: Bacterial RNase P class A
About the family: Ribonuclease P (RNase P) is a ubiquitous endoribonuclease, found in archaea, bacteria and eukarya as well as chloroplasts and mitochondria. Its best characterised activity is the generation of mature 5'-ends of tRNAs by cleaving the 5'-leader elements of precursor-tRNAs. Cellular RNase Ps are ribonucleoproteins.
Source: RNAcentral